CUAUGAGAUGAGCCUGCGUCAGAUUAGCUAGUUGGGUGGGGUAAAGGACCUACCAAGGACGAUGAUCUGUAGCGUGGUCUGAGAGGACGACCAGCCACACUGGGACUGAGACACGGCCCAGACUCCUACGGGAGGCAGCAGUGGGGAAUAUUGGACAAUGGGCGCAAGCCUGAUCCAGCAAUGCCGCGUGUGUGAAGAAGGCCUGCGGGUUGUAAAGCACUUUCAGUGGGGAGGAAGGCCUCAAUGCUAAUAGUAUUGAGGAUUGACGUUACCCACAGAAGAAGCACCGGCUAACUCUGUGCCAGCAGCCGCGGUAAUACAGAGGGUGCAAGCGUUAAUCGGAAUUACUGGGCGUAAAGGGUGCGUAGGUGGUUUUUUAAGUCAGAUGUGAAAAUCCCUGGGCUCAACCUAGGAAUUGCAUUUGAUACUGAAUAACUUGAGUAUGGUAGAGGGA
This 454-nucleotide ribosomal RNA is filed under the name uncultured bacterium. RNAcentral describes it as "bacterial SSU rRNA". It matches the Rfam family "Bacterial small subunit ribosomal RNA", at positions 218 to 659 of the family's 1533-position model. The record is from RNAcentral.